ACCCCACUGCUAUCGGGGUGGGACUAAGACAUGCUAGUCGUGCGCCUCCAAGCCACGGUGGAGGCGCGGCGCACAGCUCAGUAACACGUGGCUAACCUACCCUUGGGACGGGGACAACCCCGGGAAACUGGGGCUAAUCCCCGAUAGGUGAGGACUCCUGGAAUGGGUCCUCGCCGAAAGGGCGUCUAGACCAUGCUUCUAGGCGCUGCCCAAGGAUGGGGCCGCGGCCGAUCAGGUUGUUGGUGAGGUAACGGCUCACCAAGCCUAAGACCGGUACUGGCCGUGAGGGCGGGAGCCCGGAGAUGGACACUGAGACAAGGGUCCAGGCCCUACGGGGCGCAGCAGUCGCGAAACCUCCGCAAUACGCGAAAGCGUGACGGGGCCACCCCGAGUGCCGUCCGCUGAGGACGGCUUUUCCCCAGUGUAGACAGCUGGGGGAAUAAGGGGAGGGCAAGUCGGGUGUCAGCCGCCGCGGUAAUACCCGCUCCCCGAGUGGUGGGGACGCUUAUUGGGCCUAAAGCAUCCGUAGCCGGCUGGACAAGUCCCCUGUUAAAUCCAGCGAUUCAAUCGCUGGACUGCGGGGGGUACUGUCCAGCUAGGGGGCGGGAGAGGCCAGCGGUAUUCCCGGGGUAGGGGUGAAAUCUUAUAAUCCCGGGAGGACCACCAGUGGCGAAGGCUGCUGGCUGGAACGCGCCCGACGGUGAGGGAUGAAAGCUGGGGGAGCGAACCGGAUUAGAUACCCGGGUAGUCCCAGCUGUAAACGAUGCGGGCUAGGUGUUGGCACGGCUACAAGCCGUGUCAGUGCCGCGGGGAAGCCGUUAAGCCCGCCGCCUGGGGAGUACGGCCGCAAGGCUGAAACUUAAAGGAAUUGGCGGGGGAGCACCACAAGGGGUGAAGCUUGCGGUUU
Molecule: ribosomal RNA, 907 nt
Filed under: uncultured crenarchaeote
Lineage: Archaea; Thermoproteati; Thermoproteota
Description: bacterial SSU rRNA
Rfam family: Archaeal small subunit ribosomal RNA
Source: RNAcentral